CAAGUGUAUGGGGAGUCGGGAGCUGCCAGGCUGGCGUGAACCCCCGGAUCGAUGUUUACUGGUGGCCAUUGCCACAGUGAAACUGGUUACCUGCAAGUUAAACACCGGGCAUAUGUCGUCAUUAGUUGGGAGCGUCUGGCAUUAGUCCCACCGGCAGCUGUCUCCACGUUGGACUCGAUGAACCUCCAAACCCCUUAACUCCUGGGAUACGCUGCUAGACUAGGAAAGGUCCGAACAGCCACAGAGCAUCGCUAGCUGCUGUUCUCUGGUGUGUGAAUGUGUGCUUGCUCAAUGUGUGUGUAUGUGCGUGCGUGAACCGGUGCUGCUCACGGUAUGUUAGUAGGGUAUUUUCUUUUUUGUUUCCUCUAGCCUGUUAGCUUGCUGUGGCGCAGCAUCCACCGUCUGAAAUAGCUACAGGCUAGAGUGGUUUCUUUUUUUAUCGUUUUGUUUUGUUUUGUCCGUAUGUUAACCCCUUCCCUGUCCCUGCUCACUCGUUACUGGCGCGUGGAGUGCCAACUGACGUGUGUGUGUGAGAGGCCACACUGAAAGGCUAGGCCCUAUCUUAUGCACAGAGUAGUGAAGAGUUUGCUGUGACAUUACGUGACUCCUAGUGUGU
Long non-coding RNA from Engraulis encrasicolus (European anchovy), 616 nucleotides. RefSeq lists it as uncharacterized. The transcript is spliced from 3 exons. NCBI's taxonomy places the organism in Eukaryota, Metazoa, Chordata, Actinopteri, Clupeiformes, Engraulidae. The record is from RefSeq and is a predicted model, not a curated record.